UUAUGGCUCAGGAUGAACGCUAGCGGCAGGCUUAACACAUGCAAGUCGAGGGGCAGCGCGGAGUAGCAAUACUCUGGCGGCGACCGGCGCACGGGUGCGUAACGCGUAUGCAACCUACCCUCCACAGGGGGAUAACGGAGUGAAAACUCCACUAAUACCCCGUACUACCGCGAGGCCGCAUGGCCCUGCGGUGAAAGCUUCGGUGGUGAAGGAUGGGCAUGCGUGACAUUAGGUAGUUGGCGGGGCAACGGCCCACCAAGCCGACGAUGUCUAGGGGAGCUGAGAGGCUUAUCCCCCACACUGGUACUGAGACACGGACCAGACUCCUACGGGAGGCAGCAGUGAGGAAUAUUGGUCAAUGGGAGGAAUCCUGAACCAGCCAUGCCGCGUGCCGGGAGGAAGGCCCUAUGGGUUGUAAACCGCUUUUGCACGGGAGUAAUAAGGUGGGUGCGCCCUCCGAUGAGAGUACCGUGCGAAUAAGCAUCGGCUAACUCCGUGCCAGCAGCGGC
RNAcentral lists this ribosomal RNA (509 nucleotides) under uncultured bacterium. RNAcentral describes it as "bacterial SSU rRNA". It matches the Rfam family "Bacterial small subunit ribosomal RNA", at positions 17 to 518 of the family's 1533-position model. The record is from RNAcentral.